AGCAGCCGCGGUAAUUCCAGCUCCAAUAGCGUAUAUUAAAGUUGUUGCAGUUAAAAAGCUCGUAGUUGAAUUUCGGGGAUCAAUUUAUUGGUCGUGCUAUUGUACGUACUGGUAUUAUUGAUUCCUACCUUCUGACGAACCAUGAUGUCAUUAAUUUGGUGUCAUGGGGAAUCAGGACUGUUACUUUAGAAAAAUUAGAGUGUUUAAAGCAGGCUCACGCUUGAAUACAUUAGCAUGGAAUAACGAAAUAGGACGUUUGAUUCUAUUUUGUUGGUUUCUAGGAUCGACGUAAUGAUUAAUAGGGAUAGUUGGGGGCAUUAGUAUUCAAUUGUCAGAGGUGAAAUUCUUGGAUUUAUUGAAGACUAACUACUGCGAAAGCAUUUGCCAAGGAUGUUUUCAUUAAUCAAGAACGAAAGUUAGAGGAUCGAAGGCGAUUAGAUACCGCCUAGUUCUAACCAUAAAC
Molecule: ribosomal RNA, 463 nt
Filed under: uncultured Glomus
Lineage: Eukaryota; Fungi; Glomeromycota; Glomeromycetes; Glomerales; Glomeraceae
Description: SSU rRNA
Rfam family: Eukaryotic small subunit ribosomal RNA
Source: RNAcentral